AGAGUUUGAUCCUGGCUCAGGAUGAACGCUAGCGGCAGGCUUAACACAUGCAAGUCGAGGGGCAGCAUGUCCAGCAAUGGAUGAUGGCGACCGGCGGAAGGGUGCGUAACGCGUGAGCAACAUGCCCUAUACAGGGAGAUACACCAGGGAAACUUGGUCUAAUAUCCCAUAGCAUUCGUUGAAGGCAUCUUUAAUGAAUUAAAGCUUCGGUGGUAUAGGAUUGGCUCGCGUGACAUUAGCCAGAUGGUGAGGUAACGGCUCACCAUAGCAAUGAUGUCUAGGGGUUUUGAGAGGAAGGCCCCCCACACUGGGACUGAGACACGGCCCAGACUCCUACGGGAGGCAGCAGUGAGGAAUAUUGGACAAUGGAUGGAAAUCUGAUCCAGCCAUGCCGCGUGCAGGAAGACGGCCUUAUGGGUUGUAAACUGCUUUUAUACGGGAGCAAUAAGGGUUACGAGUAAUCCGAUGAGAGUACUGUAUGAAUAAGGAUCGGCUAACUCCGUGCCAGCAGCCGCGGUAAUACGGAGGAUCCGAGCGUUAUCCGGAAUUAUUGGGUUUAAAGGGUGCGUAGGCGGCCAUUUAAGUCAGCGGUGAAAUUUUGCAGCUUAACUGUAACAGUGCCGUUGAUACUGUUUGGCUAGGAUUUGGUUGUAGUGUGCGGAAUGUGUGGUGUAGCGGUGAAAUGCUUAGAUAUCACACAGAACACCGAUUGCGAAGGCAGCUUACUAAACUGUCACUGACGCUGAUGCACGAAAGCGUGGGUAUCAAACAGGAUUAGAUACCCUGGUAGUCCACGCUGUAAACGAUGAUUACUGGUUGUUUGCGAUACACUGCAAGUGACUGAGCGAAAGCAUUAAGUAAUCCACCUGGGGAGUACGUCGGCAACGAUGAAACUCAAAGGAAUUGACGGGGGCCCGCACAAGCGGAGGAACAUGUGGUUUAAUUCGAUGAUACGCGAGGAACCUUACCUGGGUUUAAAUGGGGAGUGACAGGCUUGGAAACAGGCUCUUCUUCGGACACUCUUCAAGGUGCUGCAUGGUUGUCGUCAGCUCGUGCCGUGAGGUGUCGGGUUAAGUCCCAUAACGAGCGCAACCCCUAUCGAUAGUUACCAGCACGUUACGGUGGGGACUCUAUCGAGACUGCCGGUGUAAACCGUGAGGAGGGUGGGGACGACGUCAAGUCAUCAUGGCCCUUAUGUCCAGGGCUACACACGUGCUACAAUGGUAGAAACAAAGCGAUGCUACACUGCAAAGUCACGCAAAACGCAAAAAAGCUAUCGUAGUUCGGAUUGGAGUCUGAAACUCGACUCCAUGAAGUUGGAAUCGCUAGUAAUCGCGCAUCAGCACGGCGCGGUGAAUACGUUCCCGGGCCUUGUACUCACCGCC
This 1385-nucleotide ribosomal RNA is filed under the name uncultured bacterium. RNAcentral's name for it is "bacterial SSU rRNA". It matches the Rfam family "Bacterial small subunit ribosomal RNA". The record is from RNAcentral.